GAUGAACGCUGGCGGCGUGCCUAAUACAUGCAAGUCGAGCGAACGGACGAGAAGCUUACUUUUCUGAUGUUAGCGGCGGACGGGUGAGUAACACGUGGAUAACCUACCUAUAAGACUGGGAUAACUUCGGGAAACCGGAGCUAAUACCGGAUAAUAUUUUGAACCGCAUGGUUCAAAAGUGAAACACGGUCUUCCUGUCACUUAUAGAUGGAUCCGCGCUGCAUUAGCUAGUUGGUAAGGUAACGGCUUACCAAGGCAACGAUGCAUAGCCGACCUGAGAGGGUGAUCGGCCACACUGGAACUGAGACACGGUCCAGACUCCUACGGGAGGCAGCAGUAGGGAAUCUUCCGCAAUGGGCGAAAGCCUGACGGAGCAACGCCGCGUGAGUGAUGAAGGUCUUCGGAUCGUAAAGCUCUGUUAUUAGGGAAGAACAUAUGUGUAAGUAAAUGUGGACAUCUUGACGGUACCUAAUCAGAAAGCCACGGCUAACUACGUG
Molecule: ribosomal RNA, 497 nt
Filed under: uncultured bacterium
Lineage: Bacteria
Description: partial 16S ribosomal RNA
Rfam family: Bacterial small subunit ribosomal RNA
Source: RNAcentral